CAGGCCUAACACAUGCAAGUCGAACGAAGGCUUCGGCCUUAGUGGCGCACGGGUGCGUAACGCGUGGGAAUCUGCCCUGGGGUACGGAAUAACUCAGAGAAAUUUGAGCUAAUACCGUAUGAUGACGUAAGUCCAAAGAUUUAUCGCCCUGGGAUGAGCCCGCGUAGGAUUAGCUAGUUGGUGGGGUAAAGGCCUACCAAGGCGACGAUCCUUAGCUGGUCUGAGAGGAUGAUCAGCCACACUGGGACUGAGACACGGCCCAGACUCCUACGGGAGGCAGCAGUGGGGAAUAUUGGACAAUGGGCGAAAGCCUGAUCCAGCAAUGCCGCGUGAGUGAUGAAGGCCUUAGGGUUGUAAAGCUCUUUUACCCGGGAAGAUAAUGACUGUACCGGGAGAAUAAGCCCCGGCUAACUCCGUGCCAGCAGCCGCGGUAAU
RNAcentral lists this ribosomal RNA (435 nucleotides) under uncultured bacterium. RNAcentral describes it as "bacterial SSU rRNA". It matches the Rfam family "Bacterial small subunit ribosomal RNA", at positions 43 to 524 of the family's 1533-position model. The record is from RNAcentral.